GACAGAGGGUGCAAACGUUGUUCGGAAUUACUGGGCGUAAAGCGCGUGUAGGCGGUUUGAUAAGUCGGAUGUGAAAUCCCCGGGCUCAACCCGGGAAGUGCACUCGAUACUGUCAAGCUAGAGUAUCGGAGAGGUUGGUGGAAUUCUCGGUGUAGAGGUGAAAUUCGUAGAUAUCGAGAGGAACACCGGUGGCGAAGGCGGCCAACUGGACGAAUACUGACGCUGAGACUCGAAAGCGUGGGGAGCAAACAGG
Molecule: ribosomal RNA, 253 nt
Filed under: uncultured bacterium
Lineage: Bacteria
Description: partial 16S ribosomal RNA
Rfam family: Bacterial small subunit ribosomal RNA
Source: RNAcentral